This 68-nucleotide transfer RNA is filed under the name Sus scrofa domesticus (domestic pig). RNAcentral describes it as "tRNA-Ala". It matches the Rfam family "tRNA". Rfam says of the family: Transfer RNA (tRNA) molecules are approximately 80 nucleotides in length. Their secondary structure includes four short double-helical elements and three loops (D, anti-codon, and T loops). Lineage: Eukaryota; Metazoa; Chordata; Mammalia; Artiodactyla; Suidae. The record is from RNAcentral.
GAGGAUUUAGCUUAAUUAAAGUGUUUGAUUUGCAUUCAAUUGAUGUAGGACGAAUCCUGCAGUCCUUA